Long non-coding RNA from Hydra vulgaris (swiftwater hydra), 222 nucleotides. RefSeq lists it as uncharacterized. The record is from RefSeq and is a predicted model, not a curated record. NCBI's taxonomy places the organism in Eukaryota, Metazoa, Cnidaria, Hydrozoa, Anthoathecata, Hydridae.
UUAGAAUACGUUGUUUACAUAGAAUACGUUGAGGAUUUUGAGAGACGAAGGGAAUAAUCAGUAUGAAAAAUAAAUGCUUAAGAAGAUGUUUAACAACGACAAUGAACUUCAAACAUUUUUUUAAAUGUUAUUGUUAAUUGCAGUUAAUUUAUAUUAACAUAUUAUUUAUGUAACAGUGUGUAAGAUAUAUAUGAAAUUGUGUAUUUAAUUUUAAACAUUUUU